RNAcentral lists this ribosomal RNA (468 nucleotides) under uncultured bacterium. RNAcentral describes it as "partial 16S ribosomal RNA". It matches the Rfam family "Bacterial small subunit ribosomal RNA", at positions 28 to 507 of the family's 1533-position model. The record is from RNAcentral.
GACGAACGCUGGCGGCGUGCUUAACACAUGCAAGUCGAACGGAAAGGCCCUGCUUUUGUGGGGUGCUCGAGUGGCGAACGGGUGAGUAACACGUGAGUAACCUGCCCUUGACUUUGGGAUAACUUCAGGAAACUGGGGCUAAUACCGGAUAGGAGCUCCUGCUGCAUGGUGGGGGUUGGAAAGUUUCGGCGGUUGGGGAUGGACUCGCGGCUUAUCAGCUUGUUGGUGGGGUAGUGGCUUACCAAGGCUUUGACGGGUAGCCGGCCUGAGAGGGUGACCGGCCACAUUGGGACUGAGAGACGGCCCAGACUCCUACGGGAGGCAGCAGUGGGGAAUAUUGCACAAUGGGCGGACGCCUGAUGCAGCAACGCCGCGUGCGGGAUGCCGGCCUUCGGGUUGUAAACCGCUUUCGCCUGUGACGAAGCGUGAGUGACGGUAAUGGGUAAAGAAGCACCGGCUAACUACGUG